GUGCUCACUUCAGCAGCACAUAUACUAAAAUUGGAAUGAAACCGAGAAGAUUAGCAUGGCCCCUGCACAAAGAUAACAUGAAAAUUCAUGAAGCAUUCCGUAUUUUU
This is a small nuclear RNA of Zalophus californianus (California sea lion), 107 nucleotides long. The record is from Ensembl. Lineage: Eukaryota; Metazoa; Chordata; Mammalia; Carnivora; Otariidae.